GAUCGUUUCCUUUAUUUAAUAUAAAGAAUACGAUUAUCUCGCGUCAAAUUAGGUAAUAGGUAUCUGUGACUUAAUAAAUUUAUCUAGCCUUAUUUGUAGUUUGUCUUAAACGUAACAAUCCACAAGGGCCAUGAAAGAAAGGCCUUCCAUCUUUGUAUGGCAGCAGUGCGUAAAAUUUGUCAAUACGUGAAAGCGUGAACAUGAUGUUUAUUAAAGUAUAUAUUUGACAUAAUUGUUAAAGUUCCGGCCAAUUCCGUGCCAGCAGCCGCGGUAAGACGGAAGGAGCAAGCUUAUUACGCAAGGAAUAGGUUUAAUCGAGUGUAGGUGUAAUAGUCAUAUAAGUGUAGCAUAAUUUAGUGUGUAACAGUAAAAUGUUUGAAAAUACUAAGGAAUGUCAAUGGUGUAGACAGCUUAUCUUAACAAGACUUAAAAUUGAAACUCGGAAGUUCAGGUAGCAAACCGGAUUAGAGACCCGCAGUAGUCUGGACCGUCAAAAUGAUGAUUAAAUAAAUAAUCAUAUACCUGGUGAUACGUUCUCAAGAAUUGUAAUCAUAGAAAUUGGCAGCCAUAGAUAUACGCUGUGGAUCAUAUAGGUCCAGCUUUUAUAAUAUUAAAAGACUCGUACUUAACGCUAUAUGCUGAAAACGCCUUUAAUAAUUAGGCUCAUCAGCAGAUUAUCAGUAUUCUCAGAGACUAAACGCGUUACAAUCAGACUAAGAUUGAAGAUAUAGUCCGAUUCUUAUUAAUUAGAAUAUGAAUUGCAUGCGGUUUAAUAGGAAGCAACGCCUAGAACCUUACCAUUCUUUAAAUAAUUAUAAACCCUUAUAGGCAUUAUAAAUAGAGAUGUGUUUAAUAAAUAAUUUAGCUAGUCAACCUUUUCGUACUACACAGGUUGCUAUAACUUUAUACAAUACUAAAUUCUCAUUUAAAGACUUGUUGGGUAUAGAACGUGAAGCUGUUAGCAUUAUGUCUAUUGAAGAGUUAAACUCUAAUAUAGAACAGUUAAAUUACCCAGGUAUUUAUGCUAUAUAUUGUAAGGUUGAUGGUAAAUUUUACAUAGGUGGGGCAACUGUAUUAAAAGAUAGACUUUAUAGUCAUCUCUGUGGUUUUCUUUCAAUGCCUAACAACCGUGUAAAACCCUCCUCUAACACACACCUACAAAAAGCGUUAGAAAUUUAUGGUCCAGCCAAUUUUCAGGUAAUCAUUUUACAUAAAUUCUUGUACGAGUCGCCCUCGACGAGUCUCGGGCGACACGUACUCGCCUGCGCGCGAGGACGUGUCCGAUUUUUUCUUUGA
Molecule: ribosomal RNA, 1296 nt
Filed under: Dunaliella salina
Lineage: Eukaryota; Viridiplantae; Chlorophyta; Chlorophyceae; Chlamydomonadales; Dunaliellaceae
Description: small subunit ribosomal RNA
Rfam family: Bacterial small subunit ribosomal RNA (bases 1-606)
Source: RNAcentral